UUGUAAGAUGAUUUAUGCAUCUACAUUA
RNAcentral lists this small RNA (28 nucleotides) under Bombyx mori (domestic silkworm). RNAcentral describes it as "ovarian small RNA-1639". Lineage: Eukaryota; Metazoa; Arthropoda; Insecta; Lepidoptera; Bombycidae. The record is from RNAcentral.